GAUAAUAAUCUUUGAACAGGUUGGAGACUUGGUGCUACUUGGAGGAAAGAAGGUAUUCUGUGACCAGUGGAAGUUUUGAAUCUCAUUGAAUGGCCAUGCCAUGUGGGAUCCCCCAAGGAUGAACACCAAGCCGACUCUGCGUAAUAUGUGGCGACAUCCUCAAAGAUGAGGCAAUGAAGCUUUCAGAACUGCCAGAAAUGACUGAAUACCUCACUCCCGUUUCCAUGAUCCUAUCUUUGUGAUGAGGGUUUUUUGAACAUUUAACACACACAUAUGAGACGGCACAUGGAUGACCCUCCCUCCCAUUACUUUUCUUUCUCUGCUGCUCUGUGAAAACAUUGCUUCACGUGAAAACCAGCCAGUGGCACAAAAAAAAAAAAAAGGUUGGGGAACACUGCUCCAUAGUAUUCUGAUCAGCGGAAUGAUCAGCAAAGUUGAAUUCCGUAAAGGUUGUACACGUUCUUCAGGAAAAUAAAAGUUUCAGAUCUGGCUCUGUCUGUCAUUGUGUGUGAAACUGUCAUAUCUUGCAAGACUUCAUCUUCGUGAUCAAGUGUGCUCAAGUGUGUCGGGUUUUUUCAUUGGAUACCUUAGCAAAGACGAGAAGUAGGAUGAAGA
Long non-coding RNA from Hippocampus comes (tiger tail seahorse), 615 nucleotides. RefSeq lists it as uncharacterized. The record is from RefSeq and is a predicted model, not a curated record. The transcript has 2 exons. Lineage: Eukaryota; Metazoa; Chordata; Actinopteri; Syngnathiformes; Syngnathidae.